Molecule: long non-coding RNA, 494 nt
Filed under: Linum usitatissimum (flax)
Lineage: Eukaryota; Viridiplantae; Streptophyta; Magnoliopsida; Malpighiales; Linaceae
Description: long non-coding RNA (LUSI_LNC003990)
Source: RNAcentral
UGGGAAACAGAAGGAGAUUGCCUCUGAAGCAAUGGUGGCUUACAAAGGGGGGUCUCAUCGUGGACCUGAUUCUAAGGCCCACUUGAAGUGUGACUACUUCGGAAGAACUAGGGAUACCCGUGAUCGAUAUUUCAAGUUACAUCCAGAAUUGCGGAAUCCAGCUACUAGUGACAGUAGCUACCAGCCUAGAGGUGAUGCAACCAGAAGGUGGAUUGCUCAGCAAAGAACAGCUGGAGCAAAUCCUGACACUGCUCAAGCCACACUUGUCUCAGUCGGGUAAUCCUAAUGAUUUUACGGCACAUUCAGGUAAAGUACUAAUGGCACAACCUAUGAGGAGUUGGAUAAUUGAUUCUGGAGCCUCAGAUCAUAUGACACAUGAUUCAUUGCCCUUUAUUACAUAUACAUCACAAUCAGGUUUUAACAAAGUUAAAGUGGCUGAUGGUAACUUAGGCCCGAUUGCAAGCACAGGCCAUAUCCCUAUAUCCAAAGAAAUC